Molecule: ribosomal RNA, 328 nt
Filed under: uncultured bacterium
Lineage: Bacteria
Description: bacterial SSU rRNA
Rfam family: Bacterial small subunit ribosomal RNA
Source: RNAcentral
AACGAACGCUGGCGGCGUGGAUUAGGCAUGCAAGUCGAACGAGAAAGGGUUCGCAAGGACCCGAGUAAAGUGGCGAAAGGGUGAGUAGUACCUAGGUAACCUGCCCUGAAGAUGGGGAUAACGGCUCUAACGGGCCGCUAAUACCCAAUGUUCCGUCGGAACCGCCUGGCUCUGACGGCAAAGGUAGCCUCUGUAAACAAGCUUCCGCUUCGGGAGGGGCCUCGGGCCUAUCAGAUAGUUGGCGGGGUAACGCCCACAAGUCUGGGACGGUAGCCGGUCUGAGAGGAUGGUCGGCCACACUGGGACUGAGACACUGCCCAGACUCCUA